Molecule: transfer RNA, 76 nt
Filed under: Actinoplanes xinjiangensis
Lineage: Bacteria; Bacillati; Actinomycetota; Actinomycetes; Micromonosporales; Micromonosporaceae
Description: tRNA-Leu
Rfam family: tRNA
About the family: Transfer RNA (tRNA) molecules are approximately 80 nucleotides in length. Their secondary structure includes four short double-helical elements and three loops (D, anti-codon, and T loops).
Source: RNAcentral
GCCCGGGUAGCCCAACUGGCAGGAGGCGGCUGGCUUAGAACCAGCACAGUGCGCGUUCGAAUCGCGCCCCGGGUAC